RNAcentral lists this ribosomal RNA (454 nucleotides) under uncultured bacterium. Its description in RNAcentral is "partial 16S ribosomal RNA". It matches the Rfam family "Bacterial small subunit ribosomal RNA", at positions 28 to 507 of the family's 1533-position model. The record is from RNAcentral.
GAUGAACGCUGACAGAAUGCUUAACACAUGCAAGUCAACUUGAACUUCGGUUUGGGUGGCGGACGGGUGAGUAACGCGUAAAGAACUUGCCUCACAGCUAGGGACAACAUUUGGAAACGAAUGCUAAUACCUGAUAUUAUGAUUUUAGGGCAUCCUAGAAUUAUGAAAGCUAUAUGCGCUGUGAGAGAGCUUUGCGUCCCAUUAGCUAGUUGGAGAGGUAACGGCUCACCAAGGCGAUGAUGGGUAGCCGGCCUGAGAGGGUGAACGGCCACAAGGGGACUGAGACACGGCCCUUACUCCUACGGGAGGCAGCAGUGGGGAAUAUUGGACAAUGGACCAAGAGUCUGAUCCAGCAAUUCUGUGUGCACGAUGAGGUUUUUCGGAAUGUAAAGUGCUUUCAGUUGGGAAGAAAAAAAUGACGGUACCAACAGAAGAAGUGACGGCUAAAUACGUG